UUGCUAAACAUUGUUUUUGAAGAUUUUGAAUGAAAGAAAAGUUUAAAAGCUCUCUUGAGUAUCUAAAGAACAUCACUGAUGUCACUGCUCGGUGGACGGUAGUUCUCCGUGGUCUUGCUAUCCUUCUUGCGGAAGACACUACAGACUUCCUGAAAACAAACAUGGACUGUGAUGGUGACCCACCUAAACUAUCAAUAGGAAUUCUCAUUCUGGUGCCGGAGGACAGACACAUUUCUCCACAUGGUUUACAGCAAUUAUUUGGUAGGGUGUCACAGCCAUGGAUGGACUUGAGAAAGUAUCACAUGCCAUGUGUUUAGUUUUUGGACUGAUCGUUGUUUUAAAUAUGGAGUACCCCUUCACAGCUUAUUUUUCUUUCCCUGGGGCACAAAUCACUAAAGUCAAAACUGCCAUCACUACAAAACAUACUAAUGUGAAGUAGUGUGUUUUGUGUGAAACAAGUCCGUGUUACUGUAGAUCUGUUGCAUUUUGGGGUUUUUAUUUUUCGUCAACCUGGAUACAAGUUCCAGAAAAACUCAACUUUAAUUGCUGCAAAACUUUGAUGUUUUAGUUAAGCUGUAUUUUGCGUGUUUCUGAUGGCAGAAACAAGAUUGUUACUGUAGGUCUGUUGAUGCAAUUUGUGAUUUUUUUAUCAGUCACAUGCCAACCUGGAUACAAAACCAAAACUGCAGUCACUAAAAAAAACCUAGUUUUGAAUUUGUUUGUCAAGGUGUGUUCAUUGUGUUUGUAAUAACAGAAACAAGACUGUCUUGGGUCUAUUGUUGCAUUUUGGGUAUC
Misgurnus anguillicaudatus (oriental weatherfish) is the source of this 795-nucleotide non-coding RNA. NCBI's taxonomy places the organism in Eukaryota, Metazoa, Chordata, Actinopteri, Cypriniformes, Cobitidae. The record is from RefSeq and is a predicted model, not a curated record.